GAUGAACGCUGGCGGCGUGCCUAAUACAUGCAAGUCGAGCGAACAGACGAGGAGCUUGCUCCUCUGACGUUAGCGGCGGACGGGUGAGUAACACGUGGAUAACCUACCUAUAAGACUGGGAUAACUUCGGGAAACCGGAGCUAAUACCGGAUAAUAUAUUGAACCGCAUGGUUCAAUAGUGAAAGACGGUUUUGCUGUCACUUAUAGAUGGAUCCGCGCCGCAUUAGCUAGUUGGUAAGGUAACGGCUUACCAAGGCAACGAUGCGUAGCCGACCUGAGAGGGUGAUCGGCCACACUGGAACUGAGACACGGUCCAGACUCCUACGGGAGGCAGCAGUAGGGAAUAUUCCGCAAUGGGCGAAAGCCUGACGGAGCAACGCCGCGUGAGUGAUGAAGGUCUUCGGAUCGUAAAACUCUGUUAUUAGGGAAGAACAAAUGUGUAAGUAACGAUGCACGUCUGGACGGUACCUAAUCAGAAAGCCACGGCUAACUACGU
Molecule: ribosomal RNA, 496 nt
Filed under: uncultured bacterium
Lineage: Bacteria
Description: partial 16S ribosomal RNA
Rfam family: Bacterial small subunit ribosomal RNA
Source: RNAcentral